UGCUCCCUACGGGACGCAGCAGUGGGGAAUAUUGCACAAUGGGGGAAACCCUGAUGCAGCGACGCCGCGUGAGUGAAGAAGUAUUUCGGUAUGUAAAGCUCUAUCAGCAGGGAAGAUAAUGACGGUACCUGACUAAGAAGCCCCGGCUAACUACGUGCCAGCAGCCGCGGUAAUACGUAGGUGGCAAGCGUUGUCCGGAUUUACUGGGUGUAAAGGGCGUGCAGCCGGGCCGACAAGUCAGAUGUGAAAUCCGCGGGCUUAACCCGCGAACUGCAUUUGAAACUAUUGGUCUUGAGUACCGGAGG
Molecule: ribosomal RNA, 305 nt
Filed under: uncultured bacterium
Lineage: Bacteria
Description: bacterial SSU rRNA
Rfam family: Bacterial small subunit ribosomal RNA
Source: RNAcentral